RNAcentral lists this transfer RNA (64 nucleotides) under Xenograpsus testudinatus. RNAcentral's name for it is "tRNA-Phe". The record is from RNAcentral. Lineage: Eukaryota; Metazoa; Arthropoda; Malacostraca; Decapoda; Xenograpsidae.
AUUUAUAUAAUUUAAAAAGAAUAUUGCAUUGAAGCUGCAAAAGUGAUUAAUUUAUCUGUAAAUA